GCAAAAAUGAUGAAGAACAUUUGGUCUGAAUCAUUGAUGUGGAAUGAUUUCAUAUCACACUAGCCUUCAAAGUUCUCUGAUUUUC
Molecule: non-coding RNA, 85 nt
Organism: Citrus sinensis (sweet orange)
Lineage: Eukaryota; Viridiplantae; Streptophyta; Magnoliopsida; Sapindales; Rutaceae
Source: Rfam